This 253-nucleotide ribosomal RNA is filed under the name uncultured bacterium. RNAcentral's name for it is "partial 16S ribosomal RNA". It matches the Rfam family "Bacterial small subunit ribosomal RNA", at positions 524 to 776 of the family's 1533-position model. The record is from RNAcentral.
GACGAAGGAUGCAAGCGUUAUCCGGAUUCAUUGGGUUUAAAGGGUGCGUAGGCGGUUCGAUUAGUCAGAUGUGAAAGCCCUGGGCUCAACCCAGGAACUGCGUUUGAUACUAUCGAGCUUGAAUUCGGGAGAGGUGAGUGGAAUUCCCAGUGUAGAGGUAAAAUUCGUAGAUAUUGGGAAGAACACCGGUGGCGAAGGCGGCUCACUGGACCGACAUUGACGCUGAGGCACGAAAGCGUGGGGAGCAAACAGG